RNAcentral lists this long non-coding RNA (39832 nucleotides) under Fragaria vesca (wild strawberry). Its description in RNAcentral is "long non-coding RNA (FVES_LNC000906)". Lineage: Eukaryota; Viridiplantae; Streptophyta; Magnoliopsida; Rosales; Rosaceae. The record is from RNAcentral.
UUUUUUUUUUUUGUAAGAUAUGGAAAAAAUUCACAUUGCCUUAUUCUUUUCUAGGAGACAUUUUGGGAGCAACCGAGUUGCAAGGUCCAGUGAAUUAUAAGUAUAAGGAUUUGAAGUCAGCAACAGGAAAUUUUAGUGAUGAAAAUAAACUAGGAGAAGGAGGAUUUGGGGAUGUCUACAAGGUAAAAAAAAAUGGUGCACUAUCAAAUAUUUUGUGAAAGAUUUUAAUUGUAGUCCUUGGUUCCACAUACUUUCUCAGAGCAUAUAUAUUCUAUGAUUCAAUUUCUAAAUGCAUAAUCUCACUAUUCAUCCUUGAACAGGCUACUCUAAACAAUGGGAAAACAGUUGCAGUAAAGAAACUAGCAAUACUUCAAACAGACAGGGCAAUGACAAGUUUCGAAAAUGAAGUCAAGCUUAUAAGUAAUGUGCAUCACCGGAAUCUAAUUCGCCUUCUCGGAUGUUGUAGCAAAGGACCAGAAUUACUUCUGAUAUUUGAAUACAUGGCAAACAACAGUCUCGACAAAUACUUAUUUGGUAAUCCUCUACUCUUAGCCUCGGCUAGCUAUACAUUCAUGCAUACUAUGUUGUUAACAAAUAUAAACAAACUCUGCAUGCAUUCAGUUUAUUUGUUUAUUUCAUGAUUCUUUCUUCUUCUUCUUCUUCCAUUUCUUUUUCAUGGAAAAUAGGCCCGAAAAGAGGCUCUCUAAACUGGAAGCAACGGAAUGAUAUAAUCCUCGGUACAGCUAGGGGUCUAGCCUAUCUACACGAAGAAUUCCAUGUGUGUAUCAUACAUAGAGAUAUAAAACCCAGCAACAUUCUUUUGGAUGAUGAUUUUCAGCCAAGAAUUGCAGAUUUUGGAUUGGCAAGGCUUUUACCCGAGGACCAAAGUCAUCUUAGUACCCGAUUUGCAGGAACAUUGUAAGCUAAAAGACUUAUCUAUAUUUCUUCAAUUCCUGUACAAGCCACUAAUGAAUACAACCAUAUUUCUUCUCAACACUGAUGUUAUCAUUCUGACGUUGUAUGACAGAGGAUACACAGCACCUGAAUAUGCAAUCCAUGGUCAAUUGUCAGAAAAGGUGGAUACCUAUAGCUAUGGAGUAGUAGUCCUAGAAAUUGUAAGUGGACAGAAGGGCAGUGAAAUCAAAUCUGAUGCCAUGGGUGAAUUUCUCCUCGAAAAGGUAACUUAAAAACUAUAUAUCCUUUGUUUUAGUCUUAUUGUACCUGGAUGAUGAUGCACCCCUCACCUUUUAUUACAUUUAUGACUAGGCCUGGAAACUAUAUGAGAAUGGCCAGCACUUGGAGUUGGUCGAUGAAACAUUGGAUCCAGAUGAAUACAAAGCAGGAAAUGUGAAAAAGAUUGUUGAGAUUGCUCUAAUGUGCACUCAAUCAUCACCUGCUCUAAGGCCAACAAUGUCUGAAGUCGUCGUUUUACUUAAAAGCACAAGCUCUUGGGAAAAUAGGCCGCUUACUAGGCCUGUGUUUGUUGAUUCUGACCAUAAACGAGUAAGGGUGGACACAUCAACUUCUACCGGUUCCUCAUCAUCCAAUGCUACCACAUCCAUCUCUCAGUUUUCAGGUCGCUAAUCUUUGGGGAAGACGGUGUACGUUAAUGUAUAGUGGAACCUCCAUACAUGUACAUGAUUUUGGGAAGUUUAUUCACUUCAAAAUUUGGGCUUUGGAUUUACAAUUGCCUGUCCGUAUUUGAAAAGUCUUCAACAAUUUUGACUAUUAAUAGGGAAUUUGCUUACCGUAGUUUGUACACAUUUUGCACUUGCUGUGAAAUUAUGUGCUUUUGUAAUGCAUAUACUAGGGUUCUUUCUAUGCCAAAGGUGUGAAGGUUUACUCUUAUAUCCUAAGUAUUAACCCUUUGCUAUGCACAGGACAUGAGAACCCAAGACGAUUUUGUAAAGUACCUAGCAGUGUAUAUUUAAAAAAAGCAACUCCGUUGCAAAAAGAAUAGAAUUCCGACGGACAAUGCACAAUUCUCAGCCCCUACAAUAAAAUCACAUCAAUAUCGCAUAGCCUCAUAGUACCAAAAGUUACUUGUUUCAAAAGAUAUGCUCAAACAUGCCAAUUAUUAAUGUUCUAAGCUAUGGUCGAUAACCAGGUAAAACUACUGCUCAGUAGCUUCAGAAACUAGAGGAGAAACCCUCAGCAGCUGCUGCAAUGUCAUCAUCCUUCACUCAGAGUCUGGGGAACCAUUACCAUAAGAAACCAGGCCCUUCUUCUCGUUUGGACUGUCUGACGAGGAUCUUGAUUUGUUCUUGCCCCUUGGCCUUGGAGAUGGAGAGUCUGAGGACCUUGAAGCUGAUGGGCUCCUGCUUCUUGAAGGAGAUCUGCGCUUCUCAACCCGAGCAGCCACCUCCACUGGGGAGCGAGAACGACUUCGGAUUGGACUGCGGCUCCGGAUUGGGCUACGGCUCCUACUGUAGCGGCGACCACGACGGGGGCUACGUGAUACAGGAGACCUGGUUCUUCUGCUCCUGUAUCUGCAGAAAAGUAUGAUGUGGAGUCAGAAGCAUGCAUGUCACAAAAACCAGUAACGAAAAGAAACACAGAUUGGGAUUGGCACAUAUCACUUCCAAACUUUGUAUAGUUUGGAAUCCAAUCUUAGAAGAGAUCCACAAUUAUACCAAACAAAAGCACAGAUGGAAAAUUUAAGAGUGGCAGAUCACAUACCUCGGAGGUGUUCUUGCUCUCGGUGGGCUUCUAUAACGCCUUGGAGAGUACCUUCUAUAACUUGAAUACCUGCAAAGCAUACAGUUAGUGAAUUAGACUAUAAAAUCAAGAUGAAGCAAGAAAAAAAUACUGCAUGUGGUACCUGUCACGAUCACUUCGACCUCCAUAACGAUAUGGUCUCACAGGAGAUAAUGAAGGAGUUCUGUACCGCCGUGCAUAAGAGUACCGCUGGCUAAAACCCCGUCCCCUUCUAAUGCGCUUGGGUGAGCCAUCAGGUGAAACACUUCUUGACAAGCUCCUAUCCCUAUCAGAUGGAGGUGAUCUAACCCGGCGUACUGGGCUUCGACUCCUUGAGUAGCUGCGGCGGUUAUUCCCACCAACCGGCCUGACAGGACUGCGGCUAAUGUUUUUCCUAUUAGCAAUCCUACCCGAGCUUCUACUUGCACUCCUUCGAGAAGAUCUAGCGGGGCUUCGGCUUCUUGAAACUCUCACAGGGCUUCUGCUUAUUGAUUUUCUAGCUACUUUUCUAGGAGGGCUUGGGCUAACACUUCGUCUCGGUAGGGAUGCAGGACUAUUGCUAAUAGUUCUUUGAGACCGAGAUUUAACUGGACUCCUACUCCUACCCCUCCAACUCUUCACUGGACUCCUGCUGAAACCUCUUGCUGGGCUUCUACUGCUAUCACUUUUAACAGGACUCCUGCUGAUGCUUCUACUCCUUUGAGGGGCACGAGGAGGGCUUCUACUGACACUCGAACUCUGGCUCAUGGGACUUACACUUGGACUCUUGAUCGGACUCCUCCUGGGACUAAUACUCAUACUCUUACUCAGGAUCCUUUUAGGACUCAAGCUUCGGCUCCUGCUCAUCAACUCAUAAUAAAAGUCCAGAUCUGGAAGAAUCCAUAAGCAUAAAGAAUAACUGAGGUGUGACAAGAAUCGAAAGAAGACCUAGAUUUGCCUGGGUGAUCAUCAACUAUGUCCGGUUGCCUAUCUGCAGUUUUGUCAUAUUUAAGAUCUGUUCGCAGGCCAUUGCUCCGCUGCUCUCCAUUCUCCUUGGGGAAUGCACUUUCUUUCUCAAGCACAAUUUCUUCCUCCCUCCUUUUGAGGUGAUUUGAAGUAGCAUCUUCAUCCACUGCAUCAGAAAAUUGGUUCCCAGCUUUAGAUAUUACAUAAAAGCAAGAAGACAAGUUUUGUGAAUCAGUUCAGCUUGAGAAUACAUGCAUCAUUAUGUCAAUAAGUAAUUAUUACAUAAAAGCAAGAAGACAAAGUGCAUCAAUCACAAGAGAUACAUCACUGUACUAAGUAGUAUAUGCGCAUGUUGAGGAAAUAAGUAAAGAAUACCAGCUUUCUGUGAGGUCUCCUUUUUAGACUUCUUAUCCUUCCUUUCUGCAUUAAGACCAUCAUCUCCAGCGUUACUGUCACCCUCAGUAUCUGUAAGGCUGUCAGAGGCCCUUGAGAACAGAAAUUAAAACGUCAGUAACUAUAAGCUAGGUUAACAACUAUAAAAUGGCAUAACAUUUACUAUAAAAUCGUACUUAAUCAGGAAAAUAUCAAUUCAAUUUUGCCCAACAAAACUGGAUAAAACAGAACCACCUAUUUGCAGCCCUACUCAGUAAACAGGAAAAAGAACAUACAAAACAAAUACUCCAAGGCAGCUUAUAACAAGUAAACAAGCAAAACUCACUGUAAUCCAACACUCUUAAGACAUAUACCAGGCACUACACCCACUAUAACAAGGCUUAACAGCAUAAAGAGAUUGUAACUGAACUAGUGGCCAUAAGCAAACUCUCGAGCAUGGGCACAAAUAUAUAUUAAAAAAUGACGUCAGCAUAAAGAGGUGCAAACCAUCAAGAAUUCAAAACCAGGGAAGGUUUAGCAUACUACCUUCUUGAUCUGAUCUUAGAUCUCUUAUCACGGCGUCUACGCUUUUUGUCUCUUCCCUUGUCCCGCCUUUUUGCACGUUUAUACUUGUCUCUUUUAUAAGACCUCUUUCUUUUCUUACGUCUAUCAUCACUUGAAGAACUGUCGUAAGAGGAUGAGGAUAAAUCAGAGUCAGGAUCACUAUCGGAUUCAGAUGAAUCCAACUCAGAAUCCGAGUCACUUUCAGAUGUCGAUGAAUCAUAUUCGUAUCUCCUCCUCCUCCUCUUCCUUCUGUCUCUUGAAGAUUUCUUGUGUUUUCCCUUACGCUUCAAUUCAAGACUAUUAGCAUCUGAAGAAGCUUCCUUCACUGAUUUUACUUUCUUUUUGUCUGCAAACACAAAAUCAGAAUCAGAAGCUUGGUAAUAAAGAAAUUUCAGGCUUUAGAUAGUUCCUAAUGAGCAAUAGUGAUUCAUAUUGCUCCAGAUCUUCAGAUAAAUUAGUGUAUCCAUAAUAAUCACCUUCACUAUAUUCACCACAGUUGAUGACUUUCACUGUCACAGUUGGAUUCCCAUCUACAUCACCCGCAUUUUCUAUUCUUUUCAAAACGUCCCAUCCAUGUUUCAGCUUCCCAAAAAUGACGUGCUUUCUGCAAAAUCAUAAAGCAGUAGUGAGAACUAUCACUAAAUGCGCCAUCAACCUCAAGCAUAUAGAAAAACAGAAACAGGAUGUAGAUAAAAAAAUAAAUAAAAAAUAAAAAAAAUAAAAAAACCUGUCUAGACUAUGAUUAGCUUCAAAGGUGAUAAUGAACUGAGAGCCUAGAGAGUCACGAAGAGCAACAGGCAUUGAGAGAAGUCCAGGUUCAUUGUGCUUUAGCUUCGGUGACUCAUCUGAAGCAAAGUAAAACAACCAAUCAUCAGACAUGAAAACAAGCAUAUACUAACACAAACUAACUUGACAAGUUCAUACAGACUAAGCAGUGCAUGGCAACAUUCUUUCUUGAGCAACAUAUUUCAUCAAUUGGAUAGAGCAACAUAUUUGUUCUUUAAAUUUUGACUUUUAAAAGGAGCAUAUGUGGUCAUUUUACCAAGCUAAAAAUAGAUAUUUAGGAGCAAAAUGAGAAACUGAAAGUCAUUGUGCGCCUAGAUAAAAGAAUAAUCUAGCAGUUCAUUACAUGUCUAUAAUUGUGAGAGAGAGAGGAGGGGGGAGGGGGGGGGGGGGGAGAGAGAGAGAGAGAGAGAGGAGGCAUUGUAACAUUAAUUACCUGGAAACUCCUCCUCACUGUAAAUGCUUUCGCCACCAGUGCCUGUCAAGUCAAGCAUACAAAUCCAAUAAAACUUGAGCUGGGGUGAUGUUAAAAAGGACCUCAUGUAAUGUUCAAAAUACAAUCACAUCUACCCAAACUGACCAAUUAAGUUUCAAAAAUUGAUUUUAGUAAAUUUGUCAGCUUGGAUUUGGUCCUAAAAUCACAGCAUAUGAUUGGUUCACAACAUCAUGUUGCUUCUACCUUCUGCCACUACAAUGUUUUCCUCAAAAGAAACUUCUUGGAAAUGAGACAAAUGGCAUUCACCACAGCUGGGUUUUUAUUCUUCCAGAGGCCAUUCUAUUUCUUAUGUUGGUAUCAAUUAAACAGUUAUCUCCCAGUAUAUUACAAUGAAUCUUCAGUAACCAGUCUUCUCUCUCUCCAUCAACUUAGGUUUAAGGUUUAAAAGAACAAGCGAGAAUAAUAAUAACUUUGAGACCAAGUGUAUAUAAGAACCAGCAUUUCUACACUCUAGACAUCAUCCUAUAUACAACGCGACGGAUAAUCAGUAUAUUAGAUAUUAUUCUCGUCCAGAAUGAAAUUAUAGCAGAUGUUUUCAUUUUUUCACCCUUUAGAUUAAGUUGCUUCAAGAGAAUAAAGUCUAAUUGAACUAUCUAACAACAAGAAUAUAUAACAACUUAAUCUAAAGGGUGAAAAUUUAAAUGUACUGAUGAACGAAAUGACAAAUUUAAGUGUACUGCAGAAAAGUAAUGAUACAUACCAUCCCUUUUGACAAAAUCACCUCCCUGUGAAAUAAACACCAGUCAUUAAUCUUUCUCAGAUAAACAGAGAUGUGUAUGCGAAACUGGUUUGAGCAUGGCAAAGCAUAGUAAAAUUUAAGGAAAAAAACAAAAAACAACUUAGUACAACCUUAAAACUAUAUCACAAGAAAAGCAGUCGUGACCGUCAGCCCUGUAUCCUACAGCAUAAACAAGGGUAACCGGCUAAAAGACAAACCAGUGCCAAGACAUGCUCAACCAGAAAACGCUACAAAGGGAAAUCAAGAAGAAUACAAGGAUUCAUACCUUUGCAUAGUAACCUUUUAAAAUGCGAUGGAAGAAAGACCCUUUGUAGUGUAGUGGUCUCCCACUCUUUGGUCCAAUUCCCUUUUCUCCUGAAUAUUCAGAACAAAGAUGAAAUCAGAAACUCGACAAUUCUAAUUAAACAGUGUAACUGUAAGUACCCCUAACCUCAGAAGAAAGGAAAGUGCAGCGUCAUGACUCAUGAGCCAAAUGACAAUUACAUUACACCAUACAUUACCUGUACAGAGAGCACGGAAAUUAUCGGCAGUCUUGGGAGCACGAUCAUAGAAAAGCUGCAAACAAUCAGAAACCAGAGACUCAUUAGGAAAUGCAAACACCAAGAAUAACAUUAUUUUGUGCACUCAAGAACACAUAUCCACUUUAACCUAGUUCACAAACAAUACCUCGAAAACCAUCUUUUCAGCAGGAUCUCCAUCAAUGCACAAAUCCAUAAAAACCAAAGGGUUCUUCUUCUUCGCCAUUCCUUCCUCUUCAAGCACAAAUCCUCAAGCCAGCGUAACCACUGCCACAAAUUCGGGAAUGCAACAUCAGAGUCAUCACCAUACUCAUCUUGACAAGUACUAACCCGAUUAGAGCUAUAACAAAACCAAAUCACGCACCGGAAUCCUUGAACCCUAGUCGAAUAUCCACAAACCCUAAAACCAAAUGCAUGCGUAGAACAUGAAAAUUAAAGCAUCGAGCUGAACCAACAACACAUCUGAGCUUUAUUUUCUGGUUUUUCAACUCUAUAGUUACGAUUGCAUCCAGCGAAUUUUAUAGAUUUCAAAAAUUUCAGGGAGAAAAAAUUACCGAGUUUGGGAUUGAAACAUUGGGGAGCAGAAUAAUAUUUGAUAGUGAGAGAGAUUGAAAAAUUAAGAAAAAAAAAGAGUGGGGAAACCCUAGAGAGUUCACCUGAGAAACGCAGAGCCACAGAAAAGUGACGAGACGAGAUGAGAGUGUGUGUGAGGUUGGUCGAACAAGAAUACCUAAAGCGCUCCCAUUUAUAUACGCGGCUUUAGCUGCUUCUACUGAGCAAGGAAGUUACCGGACUGUCCCUCAUAUUAGUAAAAGUGUCUUGACGAUUCUGUCCCUGGCAAGUGGCAAUAGUAACUUUAUUUUUAUUUUUAUUUUAAAUAAAUAAAUUUCUCUCUUAUUUUCGGGAAUUGAAAUUCAUACUCCCUCUUAUUAAUGACUUAAUUAAUAACGUGUGUUUUUUGUAAAGUAAUAGGUUUUAUAUAGUGAAAGCAUGCUAAGCUGCAAGGAGCCGAAUGAUGUUAGGAUUUUCUUAGUAAUAAGAGGUCCUUGGUAUGAACACUAGUUUGUGAAAAAAAAUGUCUCUGGUACGAACACCAGCUUGUGAAAAAAAAUAAAUAAAUUCUCAUAUGUACAAGUCAUUCCUAAAUUGCUCUCGGUCUCAAAGUUGGUGCCCCAUUUAUCCACCAUUUUUCGGUACACAUAAUCUUUUAUGAAAGGUUUAGUCAAAAAAUGAAAUAAGAUGGGUAGGUUGUUAAAUGGGGUGGUGGUGCACCCUCUUAUUUCAAGCGGCCUUAUUUGGAUCCAGAGAACAUGUGACGAUGGGUCUUGGGCUAGUGAGCCAACGAAGGUGGCUCCUGCAGACACUUGACUUCUCCAUAUUAAGAAACAACUAAAAUCAACUCGAUGUUUGAUGAGAAUGUAAAGACAUCAUAAACCAACUUUCUAAUGGAUGUCACAAUCAUCCGUCCAUUCGUAUACAAAUAAAGUUACCUAUGAAUUUGUUUCAACCAUGACUAUAAUUCACAUAAAAACUUUUACCAAGGUGUUUGAGAAGUGUAACUAAAAUCAACUUUAUCACAAAAUUUUUAACAGAACCCAUCAACUUUAUGUUCGUGAAAUAAAUAAGAUAUCGAAGUUCAUAGUGGAUUUUGUUAUACACGAAAUUAUUCUGAUUCAUGAUAUUUUUUUGUAUAAAUCGCAAGCUGGUCCCGAACAUUAAUAUAUCCAACUUUCUCGAAUGUAAAUUAUAAAUGAAUAUAGUUAGUUUACCAAAGAAUUUGAUAAUCUGGUUUUCAAGAGGAUUUUUUUUUUUUAGUAAAUUUGAUAAUUUCAUAAAAUGAGAACGAAAUUGAGGUUUUUAGUAAUUUGGCAAUCUAAUACUUACUGAGCUUCCGUUAUUACCCCGUUAUGCAUUCCAUCUCUAUGCCGCCCCUCAUCUCUCCCCUCCGUCGUAUCAGAGACGGCUCUCAGUUGCUGAAAACUGAAACAAGCUGAAACCUUUUGGCUUCCCAUCUCAUUUUUAGGUAUGCUCUUAAUUGUUUCUGCUUCAAUGGCACCCGCAUAUGUUGUUUAUUCUUAAUGAAUGCUUCUUGGGUUUUGGUAGUAACUAUGAAAUAUUCUGGGUUUUGAUAUUUUUAGCUCAUCAAGUUGUUCUUCACUUAACUCUGAUAUUGACCUUAAACACACAACGAUCAAAAGCAAAACCCAGAAUUGGGAAUGGCGUUGUUCUUCACUUGUUCUGCAAAACCCAGAAUUUGGUUUUUAAGUUUUUCCUUUUUUCCUCUCGACCGCUAACAACAACCGUCAGUUCUUAAAAAUCCAGAAUUGGGGAUUAGGGUUCUUCUGCUAAAAAUUCGUUUUUGGGAUGAUAUUUUCGCUGCUUGUUGGUUUGCUGUACAUGGUUAGUGCGCGAUUUGAUUUUGAUUAUAUAUAUAUUGUUGCUUCUAACUCUGUUUUGCAAGCGCGGGAGCGUCCUGGUACAUUUUCAAUCUCAAUGAUUUUGUGCGAUUGAUUCAUGCAUGAAAACCUUAGAACUCGCCUGGGGAAGUAGGUUGUGGUGCCCAGAUGAAACUUCAAUUUCGAAUUGUUUGAGAGAUGGCAUGCAUAAUUUGGAAUGUGAAUUGAUGUGAUUGUAUGCUUAUGAAUGAUUCCAUGAAAUUUUGGUGAUUCUGAGUACUUGAAUGUAUGAUCACGCAUAGCUUAAGAUUGAAAUUGACAGAUAUGUAUAUUUUUACUCCCAAAUCUAUAUAUGUUUGUUGAAAUAUCAAGAUUGAGCAUGUUUGGUUUUCUGACAGUUUUAUGAAUUAGAAUUGGGAACAUAAAGUAACAAUCACAGGUAUUUUAGUUAAUAGAAAUUUGGAAUACAUGUUGCAACAGCAAACUGUUUUAAAUGAUUCUUGUAACUAUAAGGCAAAUACCUGGAAAAUUGCAUGUUUUUUUAUUGAAAGUAGGGACUGUAUCAUCCACAGAUGGCUUUAAACUUUACCUAUCUUUAAUAACAAAUAUGGUUUUGAAUAUGAGAUGUUUUACUUCUUAAAGUGCAGUAUGAUACCAACUAUUGAACUGAAGACCACAUAAAGACAUAAACACAUUGUUCCAUGUUUCAACAAAUAUUGACAAGAACACUUAAGUAUCAUAGUAUUCUAAGGAUAGGGAUACCAACCUUGAUUGUUAAUGUUGAGAGCUAUUAAGCAAAGUAAGUCUUCUGCACAAUUCUCCAGUUUGUCAUUCACCGUCAGUGUGAAACUUGAAGACGUUAAAUGAGCUUGUGCAGGGCCCCCUUUAUAUAUAGACUAGCUCACUUAGAGUCCCAUCUCACAAGGCGACUCUAGUAAAACCAAUCUAAACCUUUGUGAUAACUGAUAAAUAGUAUUUCAUAUUAUCUUAAGUUCCUUGUAUUUAGCUAACCAGAUUAUUAGCUAAAUAUCCAAGUUAAAUGUCAUUCGAUUAAUCUCAUUCACUUGUUUCACAAGAUGCAUACAUUUGUUGGACUCUUAGAGAUAUGACUGAGUCCACAUCAGAUUAUCAGAUUGAUAAAAAGAGUGAUAUUCAUAUUGCAAGGCUACUGGUUAUACAUCAGUUGGUAUAUACUUGCCUCUGCUACAGAUUGGUUCAAGAAAAGGUUUUAAAUAUAUCAAAUAGGUGAAAAGUGAAGACUAGGAAAACCCGGAAGAUGAAAAGUGUGAAUGAGUAGGAAAACGUAUUCUAAUUUACAAGAAAAUGCCUCCCAUUUCUAACUCUCUUCCCAAUUAGUUGAGAGCCAUUUACCAAUCAUUUUGAUUUAUCGGCUUGUUUGCUCUGUUGCUUUGGUUCUACAAACUAAUUAAGUGUGCUUUGUUUUCGAUGAUUAAAAGAUGAUGAUCUCUGUCUCAGUGAUGCUUAUAUAAAUUAGCAAUAUGUGCAUUGGCAGGGAGAUCACAGCGGACUAACCAGACAACAUGUGGAGGCAAGUAAUAUCCUCAUCAUCAGCUCUUGGCUCAGCCCCAUGCAGAUCCAGCCGUCCAUUCCUCAUAUCAUCUUCCUUGGCAAUGGAGCCAUUUCAGGCAUCAUUCACUCUGUCAUCCUUCUAUUCUUCUUUUGCUUCGUCUGCAUUUGCUAUGAAUCCUGAGCAUGAGGAGGUUGAUUCUGAGCUUGAGGUUAGCAACCUAAACUAAUACUGUUUGUCUUUUUUCUUCAAAAUUUUAGUAAGUUUUGAAGUGUGAGUGUGGUUUGACUAUAGGCUUCUUAAAGGUUUCAUUUCAUUAUAUUCAGGGAAGGAACAAUGCAUCCAGGCAGAGUGCAACCUACAGUGGGUUUUACGGUCAAAAUAAUCAGCAGUGGCAACAGAACCCAAAUGCGGUUUAUGCUGAUAGUUCAAGGGCUCCCCGACAGAGCUCAUACCAGUUUGGUCAGAAUUACAGUGGGGGGUUCAAGGGAAGCACAGACAAUGAGUUUGUGAAUAAUCCAGUUCAACAAAGUGGAAACUUUAGCAGGUUUCGUGGGCCUGAAAAUGGAAGGUUGCAGCAAACCACACAACUAGAUUGGACACAUCUAGGACAUGGAAGUAUACAGCAGAAUUCAUAUGUUGCUCACCAGGAAAAGCCUAGGGAACUAGGACAGAUUCCAUAUGGUUUUAAAUCACAAAGCAGUUCAGGAUCUCAGGGAAGUAUAAACCACAGCUCUCUGCAACAUUCUAUAGAUUAUCAGAAAAAUACAAUCGGUUACAACAUAGGAAGCAGUUCUACACAAAAGCAGCAAAAUUUAAAUGAUUAUUAUAAAGGUAAUGGACAGUAUCAGCAGAGUGUUGGUUAUGGACGGUUUCAGCCAAGCCCACAUGUCGGACAAUAUCAGCAAAUCCCCCAGGUCGGACAAUAUCAGCAAAGCCCCCAGGUCGGACAACAUCAGCAAAGCCCCCAGGUCGGACAGUAUCAGCAAAGCUCCGAGGUCGGACAGUAUCAGCAAAGCCCCCAGGUUGGAGAACCAGCUGAGGCUUCUGAUAGUAACCCUAAUAGCGUUAAGGGUACUCUUGAAGAGUUGGAUUUGUUUUGCAAGGAGGGGAAAGUUAAGGAGGCUGUGGAGGUCUUGGGUCUGCUGAAGAAGCAGCAUGUGCACGUGAACUUGGACCAAUAUUUUCAGCUGAUGCAUGCAUGCGGGGAGGCAAAUGCCCUUGAAGAAGCAAAAGCUGUUCAUGAAAACAUGCAGUUACUGUCUCCUUUAGAAGUGAGUACCUACAACAGAAUUUUAGAGAUGUAUUCAAAAUGUGGUUCUAUGGAGAAUGCAUUAAUGGUUUUCAAUGAUAUGCCGAAGCGCAAUUUGACGUCUUGGGACAUUAUGAUCACAUGGUUUGCUAAGAAUGGUCUUGGGGAAGAUGCCAUCGAUCUAUUUACUCAGUUCAAGAAAGCAGGGUUGAAACCCGACGAUCAAAUGUUUAAUGGGGUUCUCUAUGCUUGUAGUGUCGUGGGAGAUGCUGAGGAAGGACUGCUGCAUUUUGAAUCAAUGAGCAAAGAUUAUGGCAUUGUCCCAACCAUGAAAAAUUAUGUGUGUGUAGUAGAUAUGUUUGGAUCUAUAGGUUUUCUGGAUGAGGCAUUGGAGUUCAUUGAAAAAAUGCCAUUGGGACCUAAUGUUGAUGUUUGGAAAACCUUGAUGCAUUAUUGCAGAGUUCAUGGGUAUUUGGAGCUUGGGGAUCGUUGUGCUGAGCUAGUUGAUCAGCUGGAUCCCUCCUGCUUAAAUGAGCAAUCAAAGGCUGGCCUUAUUCCUGUGAAUGAAUCAGACCUCGUAAAGGAGAAAGAGAAGAAACAAUUAGCAGCUAAAAAUCUCUUAGAGGUCAGGAGUCGAGUCCAUGAAUAUAGAGCAGGAGAUAGAUCUCAUCCUGAUAAUGAGAAGUUUUACACUCUACUUAGGGGUUUGAGGGAACAAAUGAAGGAGGCUGGUUACAUUCCAGAGACUAGAUUUGUGUUGCAUGACAUCGAUCAGGAAGGCAAGGAAGAUGCUUUGCUUAGCCAUAGUGAGAGACUUGCUGUUGCUGAUGGUCUUCUUUCCAGCUCAGCUCGUUCACCUAUUAGGGUAAUCAAGAAUCUUCGUGUAUGUGGUGAUUGCCACUCUGCUUUAAAGAUUAUUUCCAAAAUUGUAGGUAGAGAACUUAUUAUGCGAGAUGCUAAGAGGUUCCACCAUCUCAAAGACGGCAAGUGCUCUUGCAAUGAUUAUUGGUGAACAAUAGAAUUUAAUUUGUUAUUUAUCUCAGGUAUUAUUCAGAUCUCUCUAAGCUUGCAUCUCGAAAAGUUAACUUUUUCUGUUUUCCUCUACAUUAUCUAGUGAGAUACUGAGGGAACUGCAGCCCUCCCAGAUAAUAUAUUGUUGGUAUGCUUCAUGUUGAAGGUAUCUACAGUCUCAAAAAGCUUACAUAUGUAGAGCAUACAACAUGUCUGAAUAUUUGCAGAGGAUAUUCACUUCUACAGCAGGGUUUGCAGAGGGGUUCACUUCUUCAGCUCCGAAUUCAGUUUGCUGUUACGUCCUUCGCAGAGGGGUCGCUGAGGUGCUGCGCCCCUCCAUUUGUACUGCCAUUUUCUUUUUCUUUUUCUUGUCUGGAUAUGUUGUACAAUAUGAUCAUUCCGUAGAAUAAAUAGUAGAAGAUGUUGAAAUUCUCUCUUGGCCCUCGGUUUUGGAAUGCCUGAUAACUUUUUGAACCUGGACGUUUCCGACACGUUUCCAAGCUUAUAUUGGCCGUUUCCGCCGUUUAGAGCCAUAUCAAUGUGUACCCGGUGUCUUGGAGGCUCAGCAUAUGUUCUCAGAUACGCUGGAAACGGGACGGAAACGGCCCGAUACGCGUCCAAUACGUCCAGGCACGUAUCCGUAAAUAAAAUGGAUCGUGGGGGCAAUAAUAAUGACUAUUAACCAUAGCGGGUUAGUGCUCUUUUUCAACACAUUGGAGACGAAACGCAUGUCGUUUGUGUUUGAAAGCUUAAUGGAGAAAGGUUGUGAGCAGCCAUGGAGGGUCCUCGAGUUCUACAGCGGUAUUGGUGGCAUGGUAAUUCCUCAUAUUCCCUAAACCCUUAACCCUUUUGUUUUGGAUUCAUCACAAUUUGCUCAAGUCUAUCUGUGUCUUUGUAAUUGGGCUCCUAGAGGUAUUCGUUAAUGAAGGCGGGAGUGAAUGCCAACGUUGUCGAAGCAUUCGACAUCAACGACACUGCCAACGAUGUUUAUCAGCACAACUUCGGACAUCGUCCCUAUCAGGUUCUGUCCCCUUUUUCAGUUUAAUGUUUACUUAUACUGCAGUCUAGUGUUUUACUGUGGUGAAUUUGACACUGGAGGAUUGAAAGUUUGAGUCUUUAUGGUAAAACCAAUUGGAAACUCAUAUUUGAGUAAAAACUUUCAUUACUGAAGGAUCAAGGAUCCAAAGUACAAGUCUUUAUUGUCACCCAAUUUGUGUAUUUGUAUCCCAGUUCAGUUCUUGGCUGUAGUACUGUACUGCAUACACAUCCAAGUAAAAGCUUGUGGUGGAGUUGGCAUCUAAAGAUCAAAAGUACAAACCUUUGUUAUGGUUUUCCACAUUGGACUUUGUGCAUUCAUUCUGUCAGAUGAUCAAUCACUCGUGUUUGUGCCAUUUGUUGGAAAGUUUUGGUAUAUGCCUUGUAACUUGCUUUAUAGUGGGUCGGUUUGGAUUAGUAUUUCAUUAACUACAUGUUGUCAAGUGUCCAAUGUGUGUUUUCUUGAGCUGCUUUUGUUUUUUGAAUUGUUGAUGUUUUGCUUUUCAAGUCCUGGGACACGGUAUUAUGGUGCCUACUUGAGUUCAUGAUGUACGGAAUUUAAAUACUUUUGUUCAUAUAGGGAAACAUUCAGAGCCUUACUGCUGCUGAUCUCGAUAGAUAUAACGCGAAUGUAUGGCUUCUGUCUCCUCCUUGCCAACCUUACACUAGACAAGGUUAGUUCAUAUCGCUUUCCUAUUUUGCAGAUAUAUAACAUUAAUUUGUAAUAAAAUUCACUAGCUACUUAUGGUUAGGUCUCCAAAAGCAAUCUGGUGAUGCUCGGGCAUUUUCAUUUCUCCAGAUUCUUGAGUUGAUACCACACACUUUGCAACCUCCAGUAAUGUUAUUUGUGGAAAAUGUUGUUGGAUUUGAGGUAUAUUCUUGGAAUUUUUAGCUUAAGUACAGAGAUUGAUAUCUGUUAUUUAAUUUCCCUUUUUUUUUCUUACGUCUUGAAUGCAGACAUCUGAUACACAUGCAAAAAUGUUAGAGAUAUUGAGAACAAGUGACUAUGUUACACAGGAGUUCAUAUUGAGUCCCUUGCAGUUUGGUGUACCAUAUUCCAGGCCGCGCUAUUUUUGCCUGGUAGCCUCAUCUGUCUUAAUCGUUCAGAAGAUCUGGGAAACUUUGAUGCUCUCAUGUCCAAUUAUAUAAUGUACCAAUCAUAAAUUCUUUUAUUUUAUAGGCAAAGAGGAAACCCUCGACCUUUCAGAGUCAACUUUUCGAUAAUCAGCUUCUUCGGUCGCCAAAGCCAUUAUAUACAAAUGCGGAUGACAAAGUGUUCUGUGAACUUGAUGAGCUGGAAGGGAGCUCAGACAAGUUGGUUGAAUCUUGUCAGCCAAUAGAAAGCUUUCUUGAAUUCAAGAAUUGCAGUGAUUGCCCCAACUUUGUGGAUGGCACUACUGUUUCUACAGAUACCAUUAGAGUUUUGGGCAAAGAUGAAGAGAAUGGUUGUUAUACUAGCACAUUGGAUCAGUACACUGUUCCCUCAAGCUUGAUAGAGAGAUGGGGAAGUGCCAUGGGUAUCCUUGUUUUACUUUUUAAUUUUGUCAUUGAUUUGAACAUAGUAACUACAUGAAUCUCUUAGAUGUGAAUCCAGCCGAGGAACCUAAGAGUUCUCACUCACAAGUAUUAUUAAUAAUGCAGUGCUCAUUCAAUGAGGCAGGCUCCUAUUUCUCUGAUAAAAUGAAAGGUGAAGGGGAAAGUGUCCUGUCCUACUAGAUUACAAAACUAGCCUCCCUGACCUGCUCCUGCAUCAUUAUUUAGUACUUUGAUAUUGCUUUUCUUUCUCUUAGAAACUCUCUUAAGGUAUCCUUAAUACUGCUUAGAUAUUGUCUACCCGGAUUCAAAGAGAUGUUGUUGUUUUACAAAAAGUUAUUAUCGAUAUGUGAAGGGAACUGGCUCCUUUUUGGCAACUGGGCAGGUAAGCCAUCACUACUUCACACAUGCAGAAAAUCAUAAUAUGGAAUUGGGGUUUAUGAAAUCUGAAAACUUCACACUUUUGAUCAUUCGAAAAAAAACACAUGCUCCAUGCUCAUAAUAGAUUGGAAUGUUUGACUGCUAUUUAAGUUCUCUACACAGUUCAGUUCAUGCUUAUAAAAUGACUGAGCACUUCACCAUAUCGAAUGACAUUGUUGCUGCUUAACACUUGCAAAAUUGUAUUGGGCAGGCAAAGAUAAAGGAUAAAGCAUCUUCACUGAAGGAACAGAGCCUUAGAUACUUCACCCCUAGGGAGGUAUGCUGAUCUACAAAUCUGCUUCAUUUCUUGGUUUCAUGUUCUUAAUCUCUAUUAAUGUAUUCACACAUCUCUCAAAAAUCAUUCAGGUUGCUAAUUUGCAUUCUCUGCCGGAAAGCUUUCAGUUUCCGCAGCACAUAAGCCUUAGACAACGGUAUGUCAAUAUUUCAUCCUAUCUACUGGUUGAGAUGCGGCAUAUUUUCAGAGAAUAAAUAGUACUAUGCAUUUGUUUCAUGCCGAUGUGAAUCUGAACUUAAUGCUUUCCGUUUGGUCUUGAUAAUAGUAUCAAAGUAUAUAAUAGUAUCAAAGUAUAACAGUGGUCGUUAAGCAAGACUGAUGUAUGUUGUAUGUUUAUUUACACUACCAGGUAUGCAUUGCUGGGAAACAGCUUGAGCAUAUCAGUGGUUGCUCCCUUACUCCGAUAUUUAAUCGCUGAAUCAUCAUGAUUAUUCCAAGGCACAAACAUUGUACUCUGGUUACCAUCUACCCAACCUCUAACAUGUAAUAUGAACUACGAUGUGCUUUAAUAUCAGAACGCAUCAAUUGUCAUGGUGCCCCUGGAUUUUGUAGGCUUUUCAUCCUUGUCGAUUCCCAGUUUGUACCAUAAUAUAGAACGACAAUCAUAGCAAUUGUCAUAAUCCUACAUUAGUGAUCAUAACAUAUGCAUUUGAUUGUGUUGUGGAUGGUGAUUCACAAGUUCACAAGUAAGUCAAAACUGAUAGGGCACAUAAGUGACUCUAGGAUGCCAAUUUUUGUCAAGGCAAUGUACUGCUGGCUAGUCUACACCAACAUUAAAGAUAAUCACAAAAGAGAGGUAAGAAGAGAAAACAGGUUGUAUGUUACUAAAAAUAAAUGACGUUAAUUCAUUAACAAAUGCGGUGGCAAAAAUCUGUUAAUAUUGUUUCUUAUUCAACAAAACAUCUUAUUUUUCCUUUUGAAUUUGCACAUACUAUCUGGUUUGACUACUUCAUUUUGGCAUAUUGUCAUUUUACAAGCAAUUCUUAUUUUUUUGAACAAAACAAACAAACCGUCACUCUUUACAUUUUAUAUUUUUAAUUAUUUUUUAGAUGUUUGCCACCUAAAUAAUAAAAUAAUGCAUGCUAUAUCAUAACUUAUGCUUCUAGUGCUGACUGCAUUUGGAUUAAAACUAUUGGACACACUUGAGAAGCAAGUUAAGCACUCUUAAGAAAAAAUAUCUUUAGAGAAAUAUAUUCUCCUAAAAUUAAAAUGCAGCGCUUAUAUGCAAAAGGGGAAAAAUAAAUGACCAACAUAUAAAUUCGAAAAACUAUUUUAUUUUUUCUCAUUCUCACAAACUACCAAACCCUAGCCUUCUAAAUUUUCUUCCCAAUUUGAAGUUCGCAAUUCUCAAUCUCAGAGACUCCAAAUCCCUAAGUGAAGCACAAUCACAACAGAUCUCCAUCGAAGUUCUUAUUACAGCGCUCGAAUUCCGUAGCAUCCCAAGUAAGGUCAGUCAAAUAUAUCCCAAUUUCGAUUUCUAGGGUUUCAGAUUUCCGUUGUUCUUGUAUUAUUUGUUUACUUUUUUGUGAAAUUGAAUGCGAAUGGAUCAUUUCUCUGAACGAGCUCUGUGUUUUUUGCGUGAUCGAGAAAUCCGAUUUUGAUCUUGAACUAAAAUUUGGGGCUUUUUGUUUAGUUUGGUUUAGUCUAACACUGUGAUGGGUUUGAUUGAGUUUUUGUUAUUGAUAUUGGAUUAGUGAUUAGUUUGGUAUAUAUUUGUGUCUGGUUCUUGAUUUUGAUAGUUUUAUCUAGAGGUUGCUGUGGAUAAAGCCUUUUCUUUUGUUCAUGUAUCUUGUUAUAUCUAGAUUUUUGAAGUGUGUAUCUACUGAUUAUUGGUUUUCCUGGGCUGUGUUUCUGAUUAGAUUUGAAAUCUUUGUUGUUACAGGUUUUACGAUCUUAGUCAUCAUGAGAUUCAAGAAGGGGGACAAAGUGGAAGUGCUAAGCCAAAAGGAGGUGCCUUCUGGAGCAUGGCAGUGCGCUGUGAUCGUCUCUGGCAAUGGCCACAGUUAUGGUGUUAGAUAUGAUUGGUCUCCUAACGUGGGAGGUGAAGCAGUUGUGGAGAGAGUCCCGAGAAAGGCUAUUAGGCCUUGCCCUCCGCCUGUUCAAGGUGCAGAUAGUUGGGAGGUUGGCGAUGUUGUUGAGGUCUUUGAUGUUGGUUUCUGGAAGAUGGCUAAGGUAGUGAAGGUUUAUGAUGAAAAUUAUUACCUGGCCAGGCUGCUUGGGUCAUUCGAGGAGUUAAGGAUCCACAAAUCUUGGAUCAGGGUGCGUCAAUUGUUGAAAGAUGAUAAAUGGAUUGUGAUUGGUAAGGUAAAUUUAAGAAUAAAGCUGCCGUCUGGAAAUGGUGGCUUACCUUCUCCAGAAAACAGCAGUUGUCAGGAUUCCUAUAUUGUCUCGUCUACUUCAUCAAAGAGAGCUUGCCCAUACACUGAAGAAUAUCCCCAGAAGAUGAGAGCUAUUGAGAAAGAGUGUGAGCAUCAAGAAGUAUUUUAUAGGUCCCCAUCUUCACUGCUAAAAAAGGUAGAUAAUGUUGCUUACCCGAGAGCAAAACUGGAUGAAAAAUACAUGCGUGCUUCCUUUCUUUAUCCUACAACUCGAUAUUUUGAAAAGGAGAACAUAAUUUCUAAUGGUGCUAAUUCAUGUUGUGAAAGAAGCUCGGAAGUUAGUGAUUGUGAUACUGAUGCAUGCUCUAUUGAGUCUGUUGGUAGUUGUAGUGUUAAUGGUAACCAUUCAAGUAAGAUGGCUGGUUAUGAUUUAGCAGGUAAUUGUGAAGAAGCGGAUACCCUUUCUAGCGAUGCAGACUCCUUUUCUAGUGGUGCAGAUCUGGUUGAAAAUGUUUCCCUUCCUCUGAAACUUGAUAUAGCAGCAACAAUCCAUAGGCUAGAGUUAGAUGCUUAUCGUCGAACUCUGAUGGUAAUGCAUGCUUCGGGGUCCUUAAGUUGGGAACAACAAGAUUUAUUGACAACGCUCCGUAUGUCUUUACACAUUUCGAAUGAUGAACAUUUGAUGGAAGUAAGGAACUUAAUUUCUGCUGGAACAAAUCUUUCUAAUUUUCAUCACUAGGAUAUUCAAUACUUGGCUUUACUGCCUUUUCUAUACUGUAAAGCAUAGAAUGAUUUGUUAGAGCUUAGUAGUGUAUUGAUUGAAACAUGGAAAAUUUGUAAUUUGGGAAUUAUGUAACUUAGCGUAACGGAGAAGUGGAUAUUUCCAGGUUCACUUUGGUUCUUUGUUUUUUUAGCUGCUAUUAAUACUUCAUCUAUUGCUGCAUAGGUAGCUGCUCAGUUUUGUUGUUGCGGUCUACUGUGUUCUAAAUUUCUGAUAUAUUUUAUCUUGCGUUUUUCAUCUUCAUCAUGUUCUUUCUUUUCAGCUGUUUUACUAUCUAUUUUCUUUGGACCUUGUGGUCUGUAGUUAUCUUUUGCAAUUUGGAUGAUUCAUGCUCUUGGGGCCCAAACAUAUAUAUCAAGGCUUUCUAUCAUGUCAUUAUUGGAUGAACAAUUAAUGCCAUAUGAUUUGGCCAAUCCAUAAUCACCUCAUUUCUGUUCCUUCAUGCAUGAUUGGUUGAGUGAAAUGAUUUCAACAUGUAUUGGAAACUAGUUUUUUUUACUGCAUAACACAUGAAAUAAGAAGGGUGUUUGUUCAGAUGUUUUAACUUUUUGUUUAUUGGCAAUGUGCCUCUCUACCUCCUGUGUGCAAUUUCUUCCCAUUCUUCCUCUUUUGCUUGAUCAACGCUGUCAAUAUCAAUAGCUUGGUUAUCUUGUUAUGAUGUGGAUGCAUACUUGGUACGAUUUCACAAAUCUUAUUGAUAAUUCCCUGCAUUUUCAGGGCCAAGGUUGGAGGCUGCUUGCCUUGCUUCCAAAGGUCUAGAGAUGGUGCUGGGGUAUUCCAUCUUAGUGUUUACAAUUCCACGAUCUAUUUCAAAUUUCCUUCAUUUAUGCAAAAUCUAUUGCCAGGAAGUGCUCAAGUUGUUUUCUCUGGUUCUUUGAUGUUGGUCUGCUGGGACUGUGGACACAUCUUGUACCAAAGCAGAAGAGAACUUUGAAAAGGUUCCGAGACAAACCUCAUGUUUUAUCUGAUAUUCUUUUUAUUGAUAUAUAUAUAUAUUUAUAUUUAUAUUUUCUAUGACCAUUGCAUUGUUUUGCUUCAAAAUAUAUUGGUUUACAUUAGUACCUAUGAAAAUUUACCGGUUGUCAUGCAUAUCUUUAAAUUGGAAUAUUAAAUCAAGUUUAAUUUUUUUUUAUACGCUGGGGUGGUUCUAGUUUGAAGCUAUUUUGGAUGCUACGGAGACAAAUCUUUAGGGUGUUGUCAAAACAUCUUUCAAAUUUCCAGUAUAUCAUUCAGGAUUGCAGUAUAGUUGAAGUAGAUGGGGUUGUGUGGUUAUUAUACCUGGAUGUAUUUUAUGAUAUUAUUUUGGAUUUUUUUGAAAAUUUUUGCGUUUCAUUAAGCUGGGAAAUGCUAACAGUUCUAUAUGAAGAAGAAUCAGUCCAUUGCCAACAAUGGUGUUCCUAAAAGACGGGGAGAGAUUCCUAACAUUGAAGCUCGGAAAAAUGAUAGGUAACAUACAAUUCUUUUGAAUUUUAGGCUCAGUCAGCAGUUAUGUUUACAAAAUGACAGUAUAAAACUAUAUAUCAUUUGUUUCCCCUGAGGGGGAUUUUUGUACAUGCACAUGCUGUGCAUCACAUUGGAAUUUGGCAUAUGCAUAUGAAACUGAAUUAGGAGAUUCAGAAAGGUUAUUAGCACCUUGCCAACUUGGAUACUCUCUGGUUCUUUCAUCUGUGCAACCACGUUUUUUUCUUUUCAGAAAAUUUGGAUCUUGAAAGCUUAUAGUGCCAAUUCCUUUCUAUUUCUGCCCAAAGGAAAUGCACUGACAAAUGUAAAGGGGGUUUUGUCCCCAAAUUUUAUGUUGUGACAUAAUUACUCUGAAGUGUUUGCUAGACCUAAGCAAGGGAUGAAAUGUCGAAGUGAAGAAAACACAAAGGCUAUUACCGUACUUUUGUGUGCAACAUUAACCCAAACCAAGUCAAAUUCAUGCUACAUGACAUUGAGGAAGGUUUCAUGUCUCAUAUUGAAGACGGCCAGGAUUCACUCCUUUACGUUGUAUACUGAGCUUUUGUUUAGGUGAAACAGUAAAUGGUAGAUGUUCAUUGAACUUGCUUAACAUCAACAAUUGACACCUGUAUUUGGAAAUUCAGUGUUUCUUGUUAAUAAGAAUUGCGUUGUACCUACUUCACCUGUUUACAAUGUGCCUCUUCUUCAGCUUUAACCUCAGAGGUCUUAUUCCCUUGCUUUGUUUGAUAACCCCAAUCUGUGAAUAAGAUAAACAUGCGUGCUUUUGAUAAUUUGAUUCUUAAAGUUUAGUUGUCAGUGGAAAACGUUUUGGCAGUGAUAGGUUUUAUGAUUUUGAGGUAGUGAGAAGUGGUCGCAGUGAUGGUGUUCAUAGCUCAUUCAUUUGUCAAAACUCUUGUGCAGCCGAAAGUUCGUCGGCUAAAGUAUGAAACGCAAUGAAACACGAGAGAACUACUAGAACACCUUUUGGAGCCACAAUUCCACAAGUACUACUACACAUAGAAUUAUGAACGCCUGAGGUAUAUUGGCUAUUUGCAACGAGAUCAUUACAUAGGAAUUUGCUUUCUAAGAACUACCGAAAACCCUAUUCUUGGAGAAGAGUAAUCAGGACAUAAAAUAUUUUCCACAGUAGAAGCCCCAGCAUCAAGCACAGCUAUUCAAACAGAUCAUCAUCAUCAUCAGGAAGUGGUUGGUGUUUAACCCUCUCCAAAUCCUCAUCGAUCCUGAAAUGACAUGAUAAUAAGAUACAUCAACAACUCAGAAGAGAUUAAAACAAACAGGUGUCCAUGGUAAAAACUGCUCAUUAUGAAUUCAAAAUGAUUGAAGUAGUAGAUCAGUCUAUCACAUACUUUGUCUGUUCAGCCACGUCAAUGUGAACCUCAGGAGGAGCAAGAGCAGGUGAUUCAACGAAGAUCAGCUCCAUAUUUCUUUAGAGAGAACAACAAAGACCAUCAAAAUAUUACACCUUUGCAUAACCAAGUUAACGGAGCCAACAGAGCAUCAUAUAAAGUGAAAAGUGGUAAAUUUACUGAAUUAAAGGCUAUAGAAAAUAGAAAUUUACCCUGCAAGCUUUCUGGCAAGGUACAAGAAAGGUUUCUCAAAGUUGUAAUUGCUCUUAGCAGAAAUCUCAUAGUACUGGAGAUUUUUCUUCCUGUGAAAGGUGACCUGCUUUGCUUUCACCUGCCUAUUCUUUACAUCCACCUUGUUUCCGCACAGAACAAUUGGGAUGUUCUCACAUACCCUGGAACCAAUUUAACUUGUAUACUAUCAGGAUGCUUAGUUCUUAGUGGGCGACCUGGUUUCUAAUGACGCAAGUUACAGACGGAGAGUAUAAUAUCAUGAAUUUGACUAGAGACAGAAUGUUUAGAUGAUCGAACUGGUCAAAAACCAAUAAAGAAUCUUACUAUAAAACCCUCCUAAAUGCAAAAUGAUCCUAACCAAAUCGUCCUUCAUACAUACAUAUAUGCAUAGAAAAAGUCUAAAAGUCCAAAGAGUUAGUAAACUGACAAGAAAAUACUAAUGGAACAUGAUUAACAUGGAACGAAACUCAUUCAAAUAUAACAAACAAUCACAUCAAAAUGGUAAGGAUUUGUUCUGUUUUCGGUUGUCAAAGAGAUGAGUUGCAUGAACAAAAUCAUAGUUCCACAUUGCAAUAUCACUGAAUCUACUAAACUACAAUCAGCCAUUCACACUAAAAUGCUUUCAAGCACAAAAGUUUAACAACAAAACAGCACACACUACUACAAAGAGGAUGAUGACAGAAAACUCGAUUAGAGCAAACCGAAACCAAUAGUUGAAGGAUAAAGAGGGCACACAUACUAGUAUCCAUCUCUGAGCCCACCAAACUUCUCCUGACCAGCCGUGUCCCAGCAGUAGAAUCUGAUCUUCCCAAAGUUGGUGUGGAAAUCCAAGGGAUGAACUUCGACACCGAUCGUCGCUGAAAUUCACAAACCAAAACACAAAUUCAAAUCUGAGUUCCUCACGUUCGUAUUUCUUCUCGAACUCUCCAGUGAUAUGUCGCUUCACAAAAGUAGUCUUCCCUGCGCUACAAUCAAAACUCUCAAUGUUAGGGUUUCCGCCGUCGCCGACGAUGACGAGCUUGAAGCUAGGGUAAUCCACAGUCUGCUGAUUCGGAAGAGCCUGUGUAAAAAAUAACAACAAACAAACAACGAUGAGAUCAGAGAUCGAGGAGACGAAACCCUAGCCAAGCAGAGAGAAGAAAAGAAGGAGAGGUUUACCAUUAAGCUUGAUCGAGAAUUCGGAAUCGGAGAUUAUUUGAAUUUGAGAGAAUUAGGGGUAAUUUAUAGGUUUCGCACCGUCGGAUCACUGUCCCGCUUAAAAAUUCCGCUUGAAUUCUGGCCCUACACGUAGCACGUUUUCUUCUUCACCUAAAUAUCACCGCCCUGCCGGGAUCGUGUUAAAGCGCUUUGUAACUAUAGACGAACGCAGAAAACGGUCAUAUAUCAUUCAUCAAAACAAUCUAUGUCGUAAGGAGGUUAACCAGAUGAUCCGACAUUGUCUUUCAACGUUGCCUAUUUGUACUUAUGGAUAGUCGAUGAUCAUUUCGUGUUUCAUCUUACAGUUCUUACUGAAGGCCGCAACGUUCCCAAAUUCACGUCUCCACAACUUUCACAUCUCCCAUAUUAAAUCUACAGAGUCGCACAACUUUCACAUCUCCCAUAUCAAAUCUACAGAGUCGCACAACUUAUACCCUGAUGUCAAUUUUCACUAUCUUUUCCUGCUCUUCGUAAUAGCGUAUAAAAUGGACAGCUAAAAGCACAAUAUCAUAAACAUCUUAACAGCAUGCAAAGAUGUUGAAAGAAUCACAACCCAUAUAAUACCAGCAAAUCAGUACUGAUCAUUAGGAAAGGCUGAUAGAAAGCCAAUCUAAUAUAGAAAUCAGACAUGUAAAACCAUAGAACUCGACAUCCGCAAAUUCACAUCCUCAAUAAGACAAGGAAAAUUAUCACUUACAAACAGCAAUGCCAGCAGUUCCUUCUUGAAAAAAUGACCCAAAAGACCCACAAAUAUUACUAAUGAAACACACACCCCACCGACACUUCACAUCUCUACUCAAAUGCUUCAUCGUCGUCAUCGGGAAGGGGCUGACUAGCAGCUUGGGCAAGCUCAGCCUCGUGCCUGUUUCAUCAAGAAAAAAAAUACAAUGUAAGGUCUCUCUAAAUGUUUAAUCAAAGAAAAUGAGGAAAUGAGACACAAUAGAAUAACAGAUAAGGCAUUCAAGAGACUAGAGAGAAGAAACAAGACAUCCCCAUCAUCAAAAGAUAUGCUCACAGCACCGGAAAGAUAGACAAAUAAUCUUUUCUGAGGAUUUAAAGUCAACAAGCAACUCAACUUUCAAAACUGAAACUAUUUGAACAAGACCAAAAAAAAUAACUGGUCAAAAUAUUACUUAUCAAUAGAUUAAACACUUGAGAUAAUAUAAGAUCAUUUGGAAAUAACAAAAAAGAGAGAAGAUAAUAAAGCUGUUUUAGCACUAUGAAAUAGUUUCUGCAUUGGAAGUUGAUUUGGGAGAAUGGCAUUUCUUACAUAAUAUCAUAUCGCAAACAUUUAUGUUAACUGAAAUGGCCAAUAGCUGGAGAAAAAAGUGUGCAUCUGUGUGUGUGUGUGUGUGUGUGUGUGAGAGAGAGAGAGAGAGAGAGAGAGAGAGAGAGAGAGAGAGAGAGNNNNNNNNNNNNNNNNNNNNNNNNNNNNNNNNNNNNNNNNNNNNNNNNNNNNNGAGAGAGAGAGAGAGCAGUUUAAGUUAUGAAAGAAGGCUUACUGCUGCUGUGCAGCCAGAUCGAUGUGAACUUCUGGAGGAGCCAGGGCGGGGGAUUCAACAAAAUGCAGAUUAGGAUCCCUGAAACAAGCAGCACUUACAUUAAACUAAGAUCUGGAACUCCAAACAGAAAAAUUAUGCAUUAAACAACUAGAUCUUACCCAGCAAGCUUCCUGGCAAGGUACAGAAAAGGCUUCUCAAAGUUAUAAUUACUCUUUGCUGAAAUUUCAUAGUACUGCAGAUUCUUCUUCCUGUGAAAAGUGACCUGCUUGGCCUUGACCUGCCUGUUCUUCACAUCAACUUUGUUUCCACAAAGCACAAUUGGUAUGUUUUCACAGACCCUGGAAUAAAAAGCACAUGUGUCCGGGAGUUAAUACCCCUAAAUUGAAUUGAAGUCUACUCAAGGAUAAAUAAAUAAUAUAUUCCAGGCAGACCUGCAAAGAUCCCUGUGCCAUGUUGGAACAUUCUUGUAAGUUAAUCGGGCAGUAACAUCGAACAUGAUAAUUGCACAUUGGCCAUGGAUACUGCACAGAGAAUUUAUAGAAGAAAAUUAUAAAGAGUAACCAUAUAACCACGAAAUGCUGAAAAGCAUCUACACAUCAAAAUAUAUGUGCUACAACAGCUUGCCUUAAAACAAGAAAAUUAGCAUGUGAAAACAAAGUUCAGCCAAUUUUGUUUAUGAAAGAACACUUACUAGUAUCCAUCUCUAAGACCACCAAACUUCUCUUGCCCGGCAGUAUCCCAGCAGUAGAAGCGAAUUUUUCCACAGUUAGUGAAAAAGUCCAAUGGAUGGACCUCAACACCAAUAGUAGCUGUCCAUUCAAAACACACAAGAGUGAGUUGUAUAAAACAUUGAAUAAAGAAAACAAAUUCAUGACGGCAAGGGAACAAUAUGUAAAUACCAACAAAUAAAAAUGCCAGAAAACAAGAAAUGAUUUUGAAGACUCUUACGUUCAUAUUUCUUCUCAAAUUCACCAGUAAGAUGCCUCUUCACAAAGGUUGUCUUCCCUGCAUUAAUAGAUAUCUUUAGUUCCAACAAACUAUAUGAUAUAAGUAACAAGACAUAUCAAAAACUCAUAGCAAACGAAAAAGCCAUAUAAACCCAAAACCCCAAUCCAAUAACAUAUAUCACUACUACAAAAUGACUUAAAAAACAGAAAGACGCCUCCUUUAUCCUUACUGAGCAAAGCAACAGACAUUGGUGCCCAAGGUUCUAGAUUCUUAAACAUCAAUUCCAUAUGUACAAGUCGCAACAACUUGAACUCAAAACAAGGAUUCAGUUAUAUUGGAGAUCAUUUCCGUAGCUUUUUAACUAUAAGAAUCACAAAAGGCUGUUACACUAACUACUAUCAAGUUCAAAUCUGCCUACCAAAUGCUCAAAUCAAAGGCAUCAUUUUAUAAAAAAAUAAAAUAAAAUAAUAACAAAAAUCAAUUCCACCAGGACUUUUCUAACAAAGACUCGAAAACAAGCUCUAUUUUCGGCUCGUGUCAGCUCAAAACCCAAACGGUUCACCUAAGCGAAGCACAAUACAACAAAAAAAAUAAAAUAAAAAAAAUUCCACCGAAAUCAAACAGAUCACGAAUCGAAACUAAACACAGAUGAAAGAGACGAACCUGUUCCACCAUCACCAACGAUUACGAGCUUGAAGCUCGGGUACUCCACGGUCUGCUGAUUCGGCAACGCCUACACAUGCCACAACCAAAAAAUAUCAACAAAAAUAAUAAUAAAAAAAUCGAUUUUUUCCAGCAACGAAACGAAGAUCAGAAACGGCGAAGAAAAAGAGUAGCGAAGAGUGAGUUACCAUAUGAGUUGUUUAGAAGUGAGGAGUAGGAGUGGCGCAGAGAGAGGGAAGGAUGCGAGAUUUGUCCAGGCUUUUUAUACUUGGAGUCUUUCUUGACACCCUAAUAUUUUCUAUGCUAGCUUCACUCUAACGCAGGAUUCUCCACCGUCUGAUUCCCUCCCGCGUGACACGUGCCGUGCUUCACUGGACGGUCGAAAGUGUUCGGCGUCACCCCGGGUUCUCUCGGACCCGUUUUGUUUGGGCUUGGUUCUCAAAUUCCCAAAGUGCUAAGUCAGUGUAUGGGCUGACUCGGAAAUCGGGUUUGGUCUCGCUCUUGAUCGCGUCAUCUACUAUUUUUGUCCAUAUAAUAUAGGGUCAUUACUAAUGAAAAUCAAAAUUGAAAGCGCGUCAUUUACUGAUGCGAAGAAGAAUCGAGGCAAGUGUUUAUUCUGUAACCAUUACUUUUUAAGACGUUGUAAAUUGUUUACCUUAAGUUUUUAUAGAAAAUUAGAAAAAAAUGAAAUAUAGAGACGGGAUGAUAAUCCACACAUUGUUGUCGUCUCUGCGUAAGAUUGGGUUUAAUGGGAAAGAACUUCAUGAAUUGGUAACAAGAUGUAAAAAUGAAACUAAGAUAAGGAUGAAGUAAUUUCUUAGCAAACAAACAACAUAGAUGAUAUUUUGGGAUAACAUCACUUGAAUGAAAAACAGCAACAAAACCAUUGUAAACGUCUUAGAUAGGAAGUCUUGAGAUGAUUAGCCAAAUUUUUUCAUACUAAAUGUUGGGGAAAUUCUAAAGGCUCGUUUGAUUUUUUUUUUUUUUUUGAGGAGAAAGACUCGUUUGAUUAGUGAAAAGUAAGUAUGAGGAAAUGAAAAUUCUUACUUUCUUAUAUUUAGGAAUGCUCAACGAAAUGAAUUUUUUUUUAAUGAAGGGAAAAUAUGGAGGAAAGUAGUUCCUUUUAAAAUUCAAAUGAACCUAAUUUUUUUUUUUUUUUAUCAAAUGCACAAUUAAUGCGCUACAAUAUUAUGAGUCGAAUUCACGACCUUUCAUUUAUAAGGAAAGACUUAUAUUACUAUACCAAAUUGUACUAGGCUCUCCUUUUCUUUUCUUGCAUUUACGACUUACAACACAUUAUUUUAUUUCAUUAAUUAACAACACUUUUGAUGAGUUCCUUUAUGUUGCCAAACUUUUGAAUGUAAAGUUCUAUUUUUCCCUUUUCAUGGGAAAUAUAAGGAAUUACUUUCAUUUCCGCGAACCAAAUAAGACCUAAAAGAAGUACCAAGGUUACAAAAGGAAGUCUCUUGGUUACUCAACCUAUGUCCAAGAUUGGCUAAAGCAUUAGCCAUGAAAUUUGUUUCCCUAAACACAUGCUGAAAGCAUACAAACUAAAAGGAAUUACUCAAAACUUUGAUAUCAUGAAUUAGUUUGAGUAACUUCCACGGAGGGGUCGAGACUCCAUUCACGACGUCAAUCACCAACUUAGAGUCGCCCUCGACUUCAAUCUUAGAGAAGCCUCGCUACUUAGCAUACAUGAGGCUAUUGCGUAGAGCUAGAGCUUCAGUAACCAGAACAGUGAUGGUGUCGGAGUUGAAAGAGGCUGCAACAAAAGAUUUGCCGGUUUCAGUUCAAAAACCAAUUUGGUUAUCGAUUGUAGUAGUCUCUUUUGACACGUGUCGGAAAUUAUCAUUCCCCAUGGUGAAAAAACUUCUUUUAGAGUGAUCUGAACUCCUGAAGUAAAAUUGGCAGCAAACACCAUGGUUUCAAGUUUAUGUAUGCUACUAUGCUUGGUUGUUGGAAAUCAUACUCGUUUAUUUUGCUCAAGGAGGGAGUACAUUAACCGUUCAAUAAAAUCAAAAACUAUAAUACGCUAUGCUCCGAUCCCAUUAGUAUACAUAUAUUCAUAUCCUUAUUUUUGGAUUAUGCUAAACCCACACUAGCUUCCCCUCUUUUCUUCCACACAGAAACUACUUGUAGCAUGAACCGAGAUGUUCACAUAUCCAAACAACCCCGCAUUGUAUUAGCUUAAUGGCCUCAUCAAACAGCCUCACAUAGUCACAUUCGUAUAUUUAAAAACCCUCCACCUAAUUCGCAUUAGGCCUUACUCUCCUCAUUGUCUUGGCCUGCGAAGGCUUAACAACUUCACAUCAUCAAGGACAGGUCCACACAGGGAAGAGAAGUCAUCACUCCUCAUGGUGUAGAAUGUGCUGAGGAACAUUAUGCGAGUUCGAGGACCAACCGCCCUAAACUUGAGCACGGCUCGCUUGAACCCGCCUUUGCCUUUGGACUCGUAAGGAACUUUGAUCGUGUCCCUGCCUGCAAAUGCCUCCACAAUCAUGGAACCUUCACAUGAGUUGCUUGCAUCUCCAACAGAGAAUGUUAGCAUGUAGGUCUUGCCGGGGAUGGUGCGGACAAUUUGUGCAAUUGCGCUUUCUUUUCCGGCUACAAGUUCCACUGCCCGUUUGCCUUCAGGGACGGAGAAAUGGUCCGAGUCUAUGUACUUCACGGCUUUGAGAGACUCCACCAUCCAUCCUGGUAGAGGAGAGUGAUCAUCUUCAAUGUUGGGUGGGAUGAGUACACCCCAUGAUGUGUUGGGAAACACGUAUGGACCUUCUUCAAAACCGGCGUUCUUGAGCAAGUUCUCUACACGUACAUAAAUCAAACAUAUCAUUCACAAUGUAACAACAUAAUUGGCCACAUACCAAACCAUCCAAAUACAAAGAGUAGCAUCUAAUUAUUGAAUGCAUAGCUGUGAAACUUAGGUUUGGUGGUGACUGAUUCCUUUAUUUAUGAACAAACAAGAGAGACAGGACAGCGCACAAUUUUAAUACAGAAUGGGAAAGAAGUUUUGGCCCCAAAGACAGUGUCCUAAAUAUUAGGCUCCAAUAAGUCAUUUGGUUUUGCUAGCCGCAGCUUAUGAGUGGUGGUUGGCCCCAAGCACAAAUUGGACCAUAUAAUUUCAGAAAAUGACUCCAAUUCAAGUCGGUGAGAUUAAACAAGAUCAAUUAUGGCAUUUUUGUCUGCAAAAAGAACACAGCAGUGAAGCUAAUAUUUUUACCAAUAGGCAGACUGUUGCUGUAUAAAGAAUUGCAACAUUUGCCAAUAAUUGAACAAGAAAGUGGUCCAACAAGAGGACCCUAAAGGGUGUUGAUUUUUAUCUUUUAAAUUCAAACAAAUCCAAAAUUGAUCUUAAGAGAGAGACAUCAGAUCAGUAUCUCACUCCCACUAGGUCCAAGUAAAUACAGAAUCCAAUCAAAAAAUCCGAUGAUACUUAAUAAGGUUAGGGAACAUCGAAAUAAUAUCUAGAACGAAUCAAGAUACGAAACAAAGAAAAACACAAUCACAUCAUUUAGCGAAUAAAUUUGAGGCGUAUAGUGUAAAAGGACUUACUGUUGGUUGCUCGAGGAGGAUACAAAGUUCGGAUGGCAAUUGAAUCGAUAAGAGGACCGCAAGCAGGGUCUUCCUCCACUCCAGGGUUAUGCAAAACAAGCUCAAUUUGUGGAAAAUCAGCUUGGAAUGCCCAAGCAUAUGAAUCCCACCCAUUGCUGCUAUACACUGUCUGAAUUGGUAGCACACCAGAGUCUGGUGCAACAGAGAUGUUCAAACGCUCCUCUUGAGCACAUGUCCUGGCUGCACUAAAUGUAAUGGAGUAGUACAAACCCUUGGUCACAUUGAUCCUCUGCUUAAUCGAGGCCUCAUUUCCAAGCCUAACUGCAUAGGCACCCUCAGGCACAACCAGCAACAUGUCCCCUUGCUUCUGGCCUGACUUGAUGUACUCAACAAACCCGGAAAUCUCCCACUUCGGUAUGGCAUAGCGUCCGAUCACUUCUGUGCCCUUGAGGUCCGAGGGCUUUGGGGCUAGCUCGAAAUUCCCAUUUUCAAGAUAACCUGCAUUUGGUAUCAAAUAUUGAUGUUAACACAAAGAGUCAAGUAUCAAGGCCUAACAUUGUAAGCAGUAUUGGUCACUCAGAAACCAAUCAUUGAAAUUUCAGACCAUAUUUGUGUAUAUCAAACAGAUAAACACCAAAUAAUUCAACCACAGAAGGAAACUAUUUACAUCAUACAAAGAAAUGGAGCUAACAACCACAUUAACUAGCUAAAAUUGUACUAAUAUGUGAGUGAGUCAUUGUUGGCCACACAUAGUUACUUCAAUUUCAUUCAUAUGAAAAUUUUCUAAGAGAAUGAUUGUCCUUCUGGAGGAAUUUCUGCAAUGAAUAUCAUGUGUGUUACUGUUCUUUAGCUAAAAACAGCUGAUGAUAUUAUUUGAUCCUAUCACACUUUUGUACCUAUCUACUGGGUACAUUUGCCACCCAUGUGAGUUUUGCUGGGCACAUCUGCAAAGCAACUUAAAUAUUGGGGCACCAGAAAUCAUUAAUCACAACGGUCCAUUUAUUUGCCUCCUACCGGAUCAGAUUGGCUGGGAUGACAUUAUCUCUAGCAAAAAACCCCUCUAGAGCAGAAAAGCUAACAAUCAAAAGCUGUGACAUCUGACAAGAGAAUAUAACAAAGAAUUUUUAUUUUUAUUUUUUGGCUGGGGGUGGAGUUAAGAGACUGAUGAAGAACCAGGAAAUGACCUAUAUGCCCCUGGUAGAAUUCAAAUUCUCAAGCACAUAAAUAACAUGGUCAGCUUCACCAACCCACAUCUGCAAAAUUCUGCAGAAAGUUCAGCAGCAAAGGCCGAAAGACUGAACCUUUACUCUAGUGAACAGUGAUCACACUUUCUAUAUGACUUUAUAAAACUACAUAUGCACAAAGAUGAGUUCAUUUUGGUAAUUUUUGACACAAACCAUAAGACUAGUACAAGCACAAACAUUAAAGGUAUGAGCCUCAUAACCACGAAGCCAAUGAACUAAAGGAGCAAGUUCAGCUUGAAGAAACUACAGAACCACCUCAUAAAAUAGAAAAUUUCUAAAAUGGGUUUUUCCUAACCUCUUGAAAAUGCAAUCUUUGAUCUGGGUUUUUCUUACAACUCAAUAAAUAUGCAAUCUUUGAUAUGAGAAUUGUAUAUGUAUUUUGCUUACCAUCAAGAACAGACUGAGCAGGGUGGCAAGUGGCGCAGAGUAGUAGCACCGCCAAAAACAAAGCAACCGCUCUCAUAUUUGAAUUAUUUGAAGCUCUUUAUCCCAAAAGGUUUCUGUUCCUUUCGUUUUUUGAUGUGGAAGGAGGUGUGGUAUACAGAGUGGGAUUUCAAGAGGGAGGAGUACUGGUUUAUAUGCAUGCCAAAGUCUUGAAGAGACCUCGGAUUUGGGAUAUAUUGCGAAUAUGCCAUUCUUCUGGCUCUAUCUACUCACAUGGGAUUUGGGGAAAUGACGGAUUAGUCACGUCUUGGAACCAAAUCUGGGAUUUAGUUUGAAGACAAAAGCUGUUCGCUAUCACAUGGUUUCACUCUCCCUUGCUGUUGCAGAGCAUGCAUAGCCCACGACACCAUUACUUCACUUUUCUCAUUUCGAAAUCCGUUUACAACCUAAUCUCGUCAUUUUGAAAUCCAAGGCCGAUUACAAAAUUCCAAGUUAAAAAUACAGUACGAGAACUUUUAAUCAGUAAUCUCACAUUACGUUUUUUUAAACAUUUCAUUAGGUGACUAAACAAAUCGAUUCAGUCUUUAGUUUUACUCUUUUCAUAUCAAAAACCUUGAAAACAAUAAGUAAUGAACAUGCCAAUGGUUGCACAAAAGUUCGAGCUGACUUUGUUAAUUGAGAACUCUAUAAAAUCCAGCUGCAAAAAUGGUGGCCGAGUGAGAUAUUACUCCGGGACCGGGAGCAAUUUCAGGUAUAGCCCUUUUUCAAACGAUGUUUUUCACAAAUUGAGGUUCGAACCAAGAACCUCAUAUUACCAAAAUAAUCUUUACAACGUCCGUUUCAUUUGCAGUCUAGCAUGUUUCUAUUAGAUGUUUCCAUUAGAUGACUGGGCUUUGAUGAACCUUUUUCUCAUGUUACCAAACUGUUUGGCAUGAAAACAUUUUCCACAAGAAACUGAAUCUAUGUGUUGGAUAAAAGAAUGAGCAGAACAUGUGGAGUGAUGGAGAGAAUUAUGGCAAUUUAUGCUCUAAAUUCUAAUUAUUGCUGUAAUAUAAUGAGAGUACUUGAGUGAAUCGGCUCUUUAAGAAUCUAUUACAAAAUAUUUAAUAGAACUCUGAUCUCCAAAAAGGCAGUUAUAAUUUGUUGAGAUUCCAUGGUCUGUCGUUCUGGUACUUGGAGAUUGAGCUCUCCAUGUGUUUCAUAUCCCUUUUUGAUUGUUCUUGUAGACAGUGAGCUUCAAAGAUCGAUGGUCAAGCUAACUUAGGUGAAUAAUUGAGAUCACAGUCUUCAUAUGCUAAAAUAGACCAUGGUAUAUUGUGCGAUCCUUCCAACAGACAAUGCAUAUGGCUUUUUGGUUAAUUGAUGUAAUAAUGUUGUGGUUCUCUACUCAAAACCAUGAUUUUGAACCCUCAAAUAUACUUUCACAUGAUCAAAUAUAUAUGCUAAUCAACGUAAAAAACAACUGGCAUAAUUUAAGUACAAACUAAAUAAUAAAAGAUUCAACCUACACGCAUAUAUGUACAUUUGUCCAAUUUUAUUCUCAUUUUUCGGUAUGGAUGAAAUUCGUGUUAAAUUACAACUUCAUAAGUUUAAAAGCUAUUAUUCUUACCGGUACACGAAACUUAAUAAUAUUUAUGAUUGUGACACUAUAAAUUAUUCAUUUAACUUUAAAAUUGUAGAGUUACAUAAUCAUAUACAAUUAUGAUGUAGUGUUAUAUUAUCAUAGUAUAGUAUCGAGAGAAGACCGAUAUAACCCUAUGACCACCGCAACAAUUACUAUUGAGAUGCCGGAAAAUUCCAAGGAACAUAUCACGAGAGAGGGUGACGGUGGCUAGGGGGGCGGCACUGCGUAAAGUGGGGGCUACAGAAGCAAGGGUCCAAGAUUGAUCCUGAAUCCCUAGCCGACCCCAAUCUAACAGAGAGAGAUAUAGCUAGCAGCACCCCAUGAUCUUAGGCUGGUUUGUGGGCUUGACUUGAGAGAAACAUGUGGGCCUUUAUCUUACCCCAAAAUAAAAAUAAAUUAAAAUCUAUGAAGUGGGCCGGGUUUGAUCCUCAGCCUCAUCCAUAGUGAUUGGACGCAUGUGGACGACCGAGAGCAUGGCGGGUAUCGAGGGACACCUGUCCUUUCCCCUUUUGUAUUUUUCUCAACUCUAUAACCUCACUGGCCAAAUAUUAUGAAUUAUGAUUGAUCACCAACCAUUUAAUUUUCUUGUUUUGUGAGAAAUCAUUUUGGCUGUUUUGCUUCUUUUCCUUCGCAAUAGCAUUAGGUACUUCUCUCGUUCGGAAAGUUCUCGUAUGCAGCGCUGCUAUGCACCAUGUUUUCCAGAAGCAACUUCUUAAUAUUAGCUCUCGUGCAAAGCAUAUGCAAUUCACCCCUUAUUAGUGUAUGUAUGUUAUGCCGUGUUGUACAUCAAACAUACCCCUCUCAUUCUAUCGUAACAAUUCUACAACUUAUUUAUGAAAAGAGAAUUACCAAUAUUGUAAAACUUUUGGUACGCAUCAUGUAGUAAGUACACAACCAUCAUCAUCAUAUAUAAAGACUAUCAUGUACAUAUUGUAUUUGUGUCGUCUAAUUUAGGUUAUCCACAUGGUAUGUGUGGCUUCACACCGUGUAUAUAUGAUCAAUCAUUGUAAGUUAGAAAGAAAAAGAUAAAUUCAAGUUAAUGAAAUAGUCUAAGAGAUUUGAUUUAUAUAUUGUCGACAUUUAACUCAUAUGUCAGAUCAUUUCAUAGUAAAGCCUAGCUGGCAUAUGCUUCAAAGUCAAUCUAUCGACGUUGACACUAGGCUGCUAUAUAUAUAUGAAGGUGACAAAUGCUAGUAUGCUACCCUACCGCAAACCCUAAUUCAUUCAUAAACAGUAGUUUUCGAGAGUCAAAUGCAGCGCGCCUAUGGAAGAUGAGGUUUUGCGACUCGAUCAAGUACGUACGUUAAGAAGCUAGAACUUGAGCUUUCAAUUAAUCAUUAAGCUCCUUCGAUUCAUUGCCACAAUGAUGAUUGAAAACUAAUUAAUUAAUUAGUCUUAAUAUAGUUAUAACGAGGUGAAGGAAAGUGUGAAUACGAACAAGCUAGGGCGUCUAAAUGGGUCCAAAAGUUUCAUUUUAAGAUUUAGGCUGCUUUCUCAGCUGAUAUACGAGACAAGCACAUAUGAAGCACAGAAGCAGGAACUUGCAACUUAUUGGAACUUCCACCCUUGGAUAAGAUGCCAAACUAGCUUUGAUAUGCACCUAACAGAUUGACAUAGAAGCACGAAACCCUAAUCUAUUCGAUGAGAUGAAUCUCCCACUUCUCGCAUUAUAAUGCAUCACCCUUUCCCAAAAGGCCGGACAGCUAUUCCAGAUUUCCAGUGUCGUUUUGGGUCCUCUCGAGCCAAACUCAUGGCGAUGAUUCCCUGUCGUUGUCUACUCGUCGUCAUACUCGAAUCAGAUAGCUGCAAACUUUGUAUCUUUUAUAUGCUCGAUUCCUUGGUGUGUGUGUGUGUGUGUAUAUACUAUUUACCAGAGUUUCAGGCCAUGGUGAGUUGGUGACUAUAUUUAUUGUUCUGUCUGGUUAAGCAUGCAGGAACUAGGUAAACGAAGAUGGACUUUCUAAGGCUCGUACGUGCAUAUGGUUUCAGGUACGUGAAGUUGAUUGAUGAGAGGAACAGGAGGUGAUGAUGAAAAGUCAUAUAUGGCUAACAUGUAAAACCCUAAUUUUCAUGUUCUUAACGUGUAUCUUAUGGCCGGGGAUGCAUUUUCAGGCUUCUGUCCUCGAUCUACAUAUGGAUGUGUGUGUGUGUAUGGUCGAUCUGUGACUCUAUGAGUUUGUUCUGGAUACAGAUUCAGGUUUAAAUUGAAUGAAUGUGGUUCUCAUAUAUAUGGAAAAUGACAUGCUAACAGCUAACUUAUGCAGUUUGAAGGGACAUGCAGAUCGAACGGUUGCCAAACUCUCCCCAUGGCUGUUAUUAAAACAUUGUCGAUCUCCUGAUAGAAACGUAUAUAAUGUAGAUCAGAGUCAUAUCAAUCACUUCAUUAUUGGCAAUUACAUGUUCGUUCAAGCUAUAAUUUUGGAAUUUGGAUUUUGUUUCAAGUUCAAAGAUUCAGAGUUUCGAAAAUUAACGCUGCUUGGAUCAACUUGAGAACUUUGAUGUUAUCAUCUUUCCCAUCGAUCAAGAAUCCAAAUAAAAUGAUAAUUGACCACAUAAAGUUGCAACAAAUCGAUCACACGUACAACUCAUCUUAUUAAUUACCUUCAACAUGAAAGAUGUCAUUUUGGAUUUGGGUGUUCAAAUCGAAAUUAUUGAAGACAGAUAUACAUGGAUCGAUCUAGCUACAUCGAUCGAUUUUGAAUUUAAUUUGAUAAAAGCAACUUCACAUAUGAAGUGAAUCAGCAGUGGAUCACAGCAAAUCUAAUAAGGUAGCUAGCCAGAAGGUUGUUUUCAACCUACAUCGAUGCAGAUGCGACACAACCCCACUUUUGAUCAAUGACUUGAAAUAAUGCACCCGCCAAAUGUUAUCAUCACACGAAUUGUUCUUCGAAUCCUAAUAUCCUAAUCUAUAUAUAUAUAGAAUUUUUGGCCACUUUUUAGGGAUAGGGCAUUACACCACUUCCCAAUUGAAUUUUUACAUCUCCACCGUUCAUUUCUUAGGUCUAUAUGAGUAGAUCACCUUUACAAAAUUUCAUAUGAUUUGGUGAUCGUUAAGGCUUUCAAAAGUUUGAUUUAGUUUUAAUGAUCUUGAACGGUCCAGCUUAUGUCAAACUAAAACCGUUGAAGGUCAUUAAAACUAAAUUGAACUUUUGAAAGUCUUAACGAUCACCAAAUCAUAUGAAAUUUUGUAGAGGUGAUCUACUCAUAUAGACCUAAGAUAUGAACGGUGGAGAUGUAAAAUUAUAAUCGGGAAGUUGGUGUAAUGUCAUAUCCCUAUAAAUGGCUUAAAAUAGAGAUCUCUCAUUGGAAGGGCCCUGUAUAUGUAUAAUUGAUGCAAUAUAUAUACAUGUUUAUCAAACUAAUUAAGUUUCUCUAUAUAGCAAGAGGGAAAAUUCAGUUUUUGCCCAAGAAUCUACAUGCAAAAUGGCCGGUAUAGCUCAUGGUGAUAUUGACAAAAGAGAAAGAGAUAGGGAAAAGCCCUGGUGAAAGAUAACCCUAGCUAGGGACAAUGAGGAGGAUAGCGUAUUAAUAUUGCAACAUCAGUCUUGCAAUCAAAGCAUUGCAUGGGGCUCAUGCUAUCACAUGGAAUGUUGAACUGUGUAAAUAGAAUUUUCAUCAGACCUAUAUUCAUCUUUCGUUAUCACUCAUUCACUCCAGAAUUUGUGAAAAAACACAUACGUUUUGCUCUUAAUUCUUACUCGGUGCUUUCCAUAAGGUGAAAAUCUGGAACCCUAGUAUUACAAGACUGAUACAAUCAGGUUCUGUAGAUGAUGAAGCGCGCGCAAGGAGGUGAAAUAGGCCAUUAUUAGCUGAUGAAUCUCGUUUAACUUCGAUGUUCAUAGUCGUCGAUUCCGGUACCGGCAUAUCGAAUCAUGGAUCGACUGAGAAUACAAUAGGAUUGGUGAAGACAGCAGAUCGAGUAAAGUUGGUACUUGUUUGGAAAAGAAACAAGGAGGGACGUGAGCACAUGGACAUAUUUAUGGAGACAUAACAUAACAAUGCAUGUAUAAUUGAGCUGGGGGGCUUUGUGGAUGCAGAUCAUCGAUAAAGGAUUCUGCUGAAAGAGGAUGAAAAUUUGGAUUGACUAGCGAGUGUACAUGAAAGCGAAGUCUGAGCCACUAUCGGUCAUAUGUAAGUGGGCAGACACUGUCUGUUCUAUACAGCUCCAUUGAAAGAAAUAUAUAGCUAAAUAUGUUUACCUUCGAUAUUCUAUAUUGUUCAUUUAUGUGUUUGUUUUCAAAUGAUCCAGUUCUCCUGCGCGCCCCUCAUCGAGAAUAAACAUGCAGGCCACCGAGAUGAGAAUAAGAAAAGUACCAUAUAUACUGUAAAUCUGUGAUGGUAAACCGAUAACUAGUCUAUGAAACCUGAUAGAUUUUCUCAGUUUGUCCAACAGUCUAAACUGGAAAAUAGGCACACAGAGAAAAAAAGAAGAAGAAAUAUUACCCUGACCACAGUGACACUAGUAUGUGAAAGAGUGUGUGAGGACUCGCAUAGUCAUCGAGUCAAAAACAAAAACGAAAUUUUCCCUUUCCUAAACUGGGAAUAGAGAAUCACGACUUAUAGAAGUAAAGCAGAUUUCCUCACACAACUUGGGGGUAAAACCUUAUUCCUAAACUUCAUAGGCCAAAGUUUGCACACUGAUUCAGAGCACAUAGAGUUCCGGCGGCUUUCAUAAUCAAAUACAGUAUGUUUCAUAAUCAAAUCGCUUUACUUGCAGUUUACUACUUGUAUAUGUGCACCAUCACUACAUUUGAUUCACGGAUCCGGCUCCUCUAAAGUGAAGAGUCGGUGAAGUUAGUUAAAUUUCAUAAAAUCUGGACUCUUUAUCCGACUCCUCACUCUAGAAAAACCAGAUCCUUGAUUCACAAUGGGGGAUGCAAACAGUGGUGGCUUAGACAAUAUUGGCGGCCUAAAAAGUACCUAUUUUAUUAAGUGGCUAAAGUAAUAUCUACACCCUAACCGAUCCAAGCAUACUAUCCUGAUUGUACCACUCGUGGUAAGAAAACUAAAAACCAAAUUAUUAAGAUAAUCUCAAUAAACAUACAUGCAAGGCCAGGCAUAUACACUAUCCAAAACCAAUGUAAUAACAUACAUCAGACACAGAGAAAUCGGUGUAUUGAAUAUUUGAAUGAGUUAUAUAGUUGGAGGCAGAGAGCAUAAGGGCAAAUCUCAUAGAAGAAGUAAAGGAAGAGGCUAAUGGCGGAUUGGCGGAUGGGAUCGAUUUCAAGUUUAACCCUAGCCUGCAGGAUCUAAUUUUGGUUUUGUUAAUUGGAUCACCUUUCCCUGAAUGAUAAUUUCUAGCUUUAAUAAACAAUAUCUGGCUGAAGAGAGGAACCUAAUGAAUAGUGCCACAACAAUACUCGCGCAAUGGAUUUUAGAAGAUAACAUCAGUCAUAUCUCAAACAGAGCGAAAAGCAAUUUUUAAAGACUAUACUCCGAGUCUCCAAUCUUGUUCUAAGAAUAGGAAUGCAGAACAGCAUUAUUGGAAAGUUUGAGAGUUUGAGAGAGCAAAGAAGCAGCAUCUCGGGGGGUUAAAUUCGUUUUUGCUUUGGCUAGUCCUUGGAAGACAAGGAUAAACAAAUCUGGUCCGACCAGAAAAGUCCUGCCUCACUUUCCAUCCCCCAGUUUGACAGGGAAAGACAAACUUUGCAGGGAAAGAUCAAGGUAUUAGAAGCAUAGAUGGAAAGACAGCCACCUUUCCGAGGCAAACACAAAUACUGAAUACAUUUACAAAGUACAACAGAACAUAAACAGAAUGCACCAUCGUAGUGUGGCAAACAAUCUUUGCACCCAAUAGACAAACGAGCUUAUUGAAAUCAAACAUAUUGAAGAAGUCAAAAGUUCGAUCAUACAUUAUUAUUGAAAAACAAAGGACUCUUCCAGUAUAUGAAAGCAAUCCAGGAAGUUCCAAUUCAGGUCCUCAAGUGCCCAAUAAUUGGGAAAAACUUAUAGAACAAGAAAAGAAUCCCCUUAAGGUAUGGAAGCAUCUACCAGAAA